This 964-nucleotide long non-coding RNA is filed under the name Panax ginseng (ginseng). Its description in RNAcentral is "long non-coding RNA (PGIN_LNC018501)". The record is from RNAcentral. Lineage: Eukaryota; Viridiplantae; Streptophyta; Magnoliopsida; Apiales; Araliaceae.
GAAAAAAUGUUGAGUUUAUUUGGUAGUAGUGUAGUACAAUUAAAGGUGGGAAAAUGGUAGCAGUACCAAAUUUUUUGCCAACAGUAAUGGCCAAUUCCCGUAAACCACAUUUUCCCAUGAUAUGUUACGUACUGUGAAGAAUCAAAAGCUAAAGCCAAUUGUUACCUGUUGGGAAAAUUUGCAGGAAUCAACGUCUCUGCCUCGAAUUGGGGUAAUUAAAAAUAAAUAAAGACCAAAGUGAUGUGCUCUGCCGUGGACCAUCAUCAUCUUCACUUUAAUUCCGACCCCCACAUUACCAAACAAAAAACAAAAGUCUCUCUCAUCACUCUUUAAUUAUUUCUCUUUACUAUUCCCGUAUAUCUAAACUUUGUUAAUUGUAUAUGACAUGUUGGUAUAUCAAAUCUAAACCCAGAUUAAGUUGGGUUUAAGGUUGUGGGUAAAUUCCAGGCAACCUGAGUAACGUUCCAUCAGCAUCAGCAUCAGCAUCAGCAUGUUCGGUGGUGUGGUGAUUCAUUUAUUCAUUUUUAGCUAGGGUUUCAACUUUGAAGACAGAGAGAGAGAGAGAGGAGGAGAGGGGAUAUAUACCAACAACAAUAAUUAUUACAGGUAUUGAGAGAGGGGUAGAGAGUAGUGGACCAUCAGUGUGCAGGGAGUAGGAGAGGAAGAACAUGAAGUUGUCGGCUAUCUUGAAGAGUAAGUCUCUCCCUGUCUUCUUCUCCUUCUGAUCAUCAUCGUCAUCAUAAAAAAGCAACCCCCAAUCUCCCAUCUCUGCUUCCUUUGAUGGGUGGGUUUUAUGAGGUUGGAUGCCUUACAGGAGACAACACUCCUCUUACCCUUUCCUCUUCAUAAACCCACCUCCAGGCUCCAUCCAUCUUUUCUAAUUAAUCCUCUCUUAGUUUCUCUUUUAUGUCUUUCGUUCUGUGUUUGUAUUAAACUAUUAAUUAAGGUAAACGUGUUUUAGUUG